Molecule: ribosomal RNA, 465 nt
Filed under: uncultured bacterium
Lineage: Bacteria
Description: partial 16S ribosomal RNA
Rfam family: Bacterial small subunit ribosomal RNA
Source: RNAcentral
GACGAACGCUGGCGGCGUGCUUAACACAUGCAAGUCGAACGGAAAGGCCCCUUUGGGGGUACUCGAGUGGCGAACGGGUGAGUAACACGUGAGUAACCUGCCCUUGACUUCGGGAUAACUUCAGGAAACUGGGGCUAAUACCGGAUAGGAAUCCUUGCUGCAUGGUGGGGGUUGGAAAGCUUCGGCGGUUUUGGAUGGACUCGCGGCUUAUCAGCUUGUUGGUGGGGUAGUGGCUUACCAAGGCUUUGACGGGUAGCCGGCCUGAGAGGGCGACCGGCCACAUUGGGACUGAGACACGGCCCAGACUCCUACGGGAGGCAGCAGUGGGGAAGAUUGCACAAUGGGCGGAAGCCUGAUGCAGCAACGCCGCGUGCGGGAUGACGGCCUUCGGGUUGUAAACCGCUUUCAGCAGGGGCGAAGCUUGUGGUGACGGUACCUGCAGAAGAAGCACCGGCUAACUACGUG